GGAGUUGUGCCUGAAAAAGGACUACUUUGAUAGAGUAAGAAUAAGGGUUAAAGCCCCUUCAACUCCU
This 67-nucleotide transfer RNA is filed under the name Atlantirivulus luelingi. RNAcentral describes it as "tRNA-Ile". It matches the Rfam family "tRNA". Rfam says of the family: Transfer RNA (tRNA) molecules are approximately 80 nucleotides in length. Their secondary structure includes four short double-helical elements and three loops (D, anti-codon, and T loops). Lineage: Eukaryota; Metazoa; Chordata; Actinopteri; Cyprinodontiformes; Rivulidae. The record is from RNAcentral. RNAcentral also lists the same sequence under 2 other names.